RNAcentral lists this transfer-messenger RNA (350 nucleotides) under Oscillospiraceae bacterium. It matches the Rfam family "transfer-messenger RNA". From Rfam's summary of the family: Bacterial tmRNA, also known as 10Sa RNA or SsrA, is named for its dual tRNA and mRNA-like properties. The record is from RNAcentral. RNAcentral also lists the same sequence under 1 other name. Lineage: Bacteria; Bacillati; Bacillota; Clostridia; Eubacteriales; Oscillospiraceae.
GGGGGCGUAAUGGUUUCGACGGGGAUUUUGAAGUAUUCGGAGCGAGCCGCAGUGGACAGCUGCGAAAAAAGGUCCAACUUUAAAUUAAACGCUAACAAAAACUUAGCUUACGCUGCCUAAAUUAUAGGCGCUGUCCUUCCCUGAUUACCGCGUUCGGGGGCAAGGGCAUCAAAACUAGCGGUGAACAUGAACCCGGAAAGCUUUGACCGGGUCACGAUUUUAUGAAGCUACCGGCAGAUGUUGCCUGUCUUUGGGCGUCAUCUGUGGGGAAUCUCAAACAAAGACUACGCUCGUAGCGCCGGAUAUGAAUAGGUUUUCGGACAGGGGUUCAACUCCCCUCGCCUCCACCA